CGUGUAGGCGGCUUCUUAAGUCUGAUGUGAAAGCCCCCGGGCUCAACCUGGGAAGUGCAUUGGAAACUGGGGAACUUGAAUACGGGAGAGGGUAGUGGAAUUCCUGGUGUAGGAGUGAAAUCCGUAGAUAUCAGGAGGAACACCGGUGGCGAAGGCGGCUACCUGGACCGAUAUUGACGCUGAGACGCGAAAGCGUGGGGAGCAAACAGGAUUAGAUACCCUGGUAGUCCACGCCGUAAACGAUGAGUACUAGGUGUUGCGGGUAUUGACCCCUGCAGUGCCGCAGCUAACGCAUUAAGUACUCCGCCUGGGAAGUACGGUCGCAAGACUAAA
RNAcentral lists this ribosomal RNA (333 nucleotides) under uncultured bacterium. Its description in RNAcentral is "bacterial SSU rRNA". It matches the Rfam family "Bacterial small subunit ribosomal RNA", at positions 568 to 898 of the family's 1533-position model. The record is from RNAcentral.